This 497-nucleotide ribosomal RNA is filed under the name uncultured bacterium. RNAcentral's name for it is "partial 16S ribosomal RNA". It matches the Rfam family "Bacterial small subunit ribosomal RNA", at positions 28 to 507 of the family's 1533-position model. The record is from RNAcentral.
GAUGAACGCUGGCGGCGUGCCUAAUACAUGCAAGUCGAGCGAACAGACGAGGAGCUUGCUCCUCUGACGUUAGCGGCGGACGGGUGAGUAACACGUGGAUAACCUACCUAUAAGACUGGGAUAACUUCGGGAAACCGGAGCUAAUACCGGAUAAUAUAUUGAACCGCAUGGUUCAAUAGUGAAAGACGGUUUUGCUGUCACUUAUAGAUGGAUCCGCGCCGCAUUAGCUAGUUGGUAAGGUAACAGCUUACCAAGGCAACGAUGCGUAGCCGACCUGAGAGGGUGAUCGGCCACACUGGAACUGAGACACGGUCCAGACUCCUACGGGAGGCAGCAGUAGGGAAUCUUCCGCAAUGGGCGAAAACCUGACGGAGCAACGCCGCGUGAGUGAUGAAGGUCUUCGGAUCGUAAAACUCUGUUAUUAGGGAAGAACAAAUGUGUAAGUAACUAUGCACGUCUUGACGGUACCUAAUCAGAAAGCCACGGCUAACUACGUG